This 1441-nucleotide ribosomal RNA is filed under the name uncultured Bordetella sp. RNAcentral describes it as "partial 16S-23S ribosomal RNA intergenic spacer". It matches the Rfam family "Bacterial small subunit ribosomal RNA". The record is from RNAcentral. Lineage: Bacteria; Pseudomonadati; Pseudomonadota; Betaproteobacteria; Burkholderiales; Alcaligenaceae.
ACAUUGCUGAUUGAACGCUGGUGAUGUUUAUACGCAAGUCGAACGGCAGCACGGACUUCGGUCUGGUGGCGAGUGGCGAACGGGUGAGUAAUGUAUCGGAACGUGCCUAGUAGCGGGGAUAACUACGCGAAAGCGUAGCUGAGCACGCACACUUUCGUAGCGCUGGGGACCUCGGGCCUCGCACUAUUAGAUGCGGCCGAUAUCGGAUUAGCUAGUUGGUGGGGUAACGGCUCGGCUCGGCGGCGACGAUCCGUGGUUGGGCUUGAGGAGGACGACCAGCCACACUGGGACUGAGACAUUUGCCCAGACUACGAGUGGCGCAGUGGGGAAUUUUGGACAAUGGGAAACCCUGAUCCAGCCAUCCCGCGUGCGAUGAAGGCCUUCGGGUUGUAAAAGCACUUUAUGAACAGGAAAGAAACGGCACGGGAUAAUACCCCGUGCAACUGACGGUACCUGCAGAAUAAGCACCGGCUAACUACGUGCCAGCAGCCGCGUACCACGCAGGUAAGCGUUAAUCGGAAUUAAGCAAAGCGCAGGCGGUUCAAGAGAUGUAAAUCCCAGAGCUGAACCUGGAACCCUGCAUUUUUAACUACCGAGCUAGAGUGUGUCAGAGGGAGGAAUUCCGCGUGUAGCAGUGAAAUGCGAUAUGCGGAGGAACACCGGAUGGCGAAGGCAAGUUUCCUGGGAUAACACCUUCGACGCUCAUGCACGAAAGCGUGGGGAGCAAACAAGAUUAGAUACCUGGUAGUCCACGCCUGUAAACGAUGUCAAAUUUAGCUAUGUUGGGGGCCUUCGGGCCUGGUAGUGCAGCUGACCAUGAAGUUGAACGCCUGGGGAGUACGGUCGCAAGAUUAAAACUCAAAGGAAUUGACGGGACCCGGGCGCGUGGACAGGGGAUUAAUUCGACAACGCGAAAACCUUACCUACCCUUGACAUGUCUGGAAUCCCGAAGAGAUUUGGGAGGCGUCUGCAAGAGAACCGGAACACAGGUGCUGCAUGGCUGUCGUCAGCUCGUGUCGUGAGAUGUUGGGUUAAGUCCGGCAACGAGCGCAACCCUUGUCAUUAUUGCUACGAAAGGGCACUCUAAUGAGACUGCCGGUGACAAAACCGGAGAAGGUGGGGAAGGAUACAAGUCCUCAGCGGCCCUUGCGGGGUAGCUUCACAUUGCCAUGGCAAUGGUCGGGACAGAGGUCGCCAACCCGCGAGGGGGACGGACCCAGAAACCCGAUCGUAGUCCGGAUCGCAGUUCGCAACCUCGACUGCGUGAAGUCGGAAUCGCCAGUAAUCGCGGAUCAGCAUGUCGCGGUGAAUACGUUCCUGGUCUGUACACACUGCCCGUCACACCAUGGAGUGGGUUUUACCAGAAGUAGUUAGCCUAACCGUAAGGAGGGCGAUUACCACGGUAGGAUUCAUGACUGGGGUAGAAGUCGUAACAAGGUAG